GACGAACGCUGUUGGCGUGCUUAACACAUGCAAGUCGAACGGAAAGGCCCUGCUUUUGUGGGGUGCUCGAGUGGCGAACGGGUGAGUAACACGUGAGUAACCUGCCCUUGACUUUGGGAUAACUUCAGGAAACUGGGGCUAAUACCGGAUAGGAGCUCCUGCUGCAUGGUGGGGGUUGGAAAGUUUCGGCGGUUGGGGAUGGACUCGCGGCUUAUCAGCUUGUUGGUGGGGUAGUGGCUUACCAAGGCUUUGACGGGUAGCCGGCCUGAGAGGGUGACCGGCCACAUUGGGACUGAGAUACGGCCCAGACUCCUACGGGAGGCAGCAGUGGGGAAUAUUGCACAAUGGGCGGAAGCCUGAUGCAGCAACGCCGCGUGCGGGAUGACGGCCUUCGGGUUGUAAACCGCUUUCGCCUGUGACGAAGCGUGAGUGACGGUAAUGGGUAAAGAAGCACCGGCUAACUACGUGCCAGCAGCCGCGGUGAUACGUAGGGUGCGAGCGUUGUCCGGAUUUAUUGGGCGUAAAGGGCUCGUAGGUGGUUGAUCGCGUCGGAAGUGUAAUCUUGGGGCUUAACCCUGAGCGUGCUUUCGAUACGGGUUGACUUGAGGAAGGUAGGGGAGAAUGGAAUUCCUGGUAGAGCGGUGGAAUGCGCAGAUAUCAGGAGGAACACCAGUGGCGAAGGCGGUUCUCUGGGCCUUUCCUGACGCUGAGGAGCGAAAGCGUGGGGAGCGAACAGGCUUAGAUACCCUGGUAGUCCACGCUGUAAACGGUGGGUACUAGGUGUGGGGUCCAUUCCACGGGUUCCGUGCCGUAGCUAACGCUUUAAGUACCCCGCCUGGGGAGUACGGCCGCAAGGCUAAAACUCAAAGGAAUUGACGGGGCCCCGCACAAGCGGCGGAGCAUGCGGAUUAAUUCGAUGCAACGCGUAGAACCUUACCUGGGUUUGACAUGGAUCGGGAGUGCUCAGAGAUGGGUGUGCCUCUUUUGGGGUCGGUUCACAGGUGGUGCAUGGCUGUCGUCAGCUCGUGUCGUGAGAUGUUGGGUUAAGUCCCGCAACGAGCGCAACCCUUGUUCACUGUUGCCAGCACGUUAUGGUGGGGACUCAGUGGAGACCGCCGGGGUCAACUCGGAGGAAGGUGGGGAUGACGUCAAGUCAUCAUGCCCCUUAUGUCCAGGGCUUCACGCAUGCUACAAUGGCUGGUACAGAGAGUGGCGAGCCUGUGAGGGUGAGCGAAUCUCGGAAAGCCGGUCUCAGUUCGGAUUGGGGUCUGCAACCCGACCUCAUGAAGUCGGAGUCGCUAGUAAUCGCAGAUCAGCAACGCUGCGGUGAAUACGUUCCCGGGGCU
RNAcentral lists this ribosomal RNA (1346 nucleotides) under uncultured bacterium. Its description in RNAcentral is "partial 16S ribosomal RNA". It matches the Rfam family "Bacterial small subunit ribosomal RNA", at positions 28 to 1381 of the family's 1533-position model. The record is from RNAcentral.